UUAUUUUUAUCUUUUUUUUCAAGUCUGGCUGGUGUCACAUCCUGAUUGUAUCACUGAAAUUGUAGCCGUCUUUGUUUUCUCCAUGUUAUAUUUCCAGCUUUUAAAGCUAUCAUGUGAAUCAGUCCUAUUAUUCAGUAUUAUUGUUAUUCAGUCUGAACAUAAGUGGGUCUCUCGAAAUUGUGACCUUGACUAGGUUGUCUCAGUUGAUCACAGACAAUUUCUCUUCCUUCGCCCAGGAUGCAGAGAUUGAGCGGAGGUGUCAGAGCUGCUCAGGACAGCUGGCCUCUGUCACCUCAAGCUUCAGCACACUGCCCAGAGGUUCAGGUACGACACCACGCUGCAGUACAACAGCAAGCUACAGGAGCCAGUGGUCAUCCCCAGCGGCUUGACCACUCAAGCCCACUGCAGCGGUGGUGUCCAGCUUCCCCGUGCUCUGGACUGGAGAGCAGAGCCCACAGUGUUGUUAGAGGGGCUCAGUGAAGAAGAGCUCCUGGCUGCAGCCCUGCAGAUGAGCUUACAGUCAGGACCUUCCACAGCCCCUCAGGACAAGUAGAAAGAAUCACCAGGUCAUGACAUCAGUGACGUUUUUAACAUCGCGGAGCAGACGUGGCUCCAGUGUAAUAACCAGAGGGUGAGGAGGACCGACGAGCUGUCUGUGCUGAAGGCUGGAGAGAGGAAUGCGUAUAUUCUCUUCUACACACACAGGUGUGUGAGGUGAACAGGAGGGAGAUCCACACCUGGGACUUGGGACUUGGGACUUGGGACUUGGGACUGGGACUGGGACUUAUAAAAGUGCACUGAAGUGCCUGUUUCCUCUUUAACCCAAACUUUGUGCUGUUCAUUUUUUAUCCAACCAGUAACAUUAACGUAUGCAAAUAUCAGAAAUAACUUUUUUAUUACUUUUUCUGCAAUGAACAUCAAUAACUUCUGAAAAGACCCCUUAAGAGUGUUUUCAUUAAUAUACCCUUACAUUGAACUAUAUGAAAUUACACAUUUAACCCACUGUAUCCCUUGUACUCAAUAUCCCUCCUCCCCCUGAGUACCAGCAGUGUGGAGACCUUCUCAAUA
This is a non-coding RNA of Lepisosteus oculatus (spotted gar), 1068 nucleotides long. Lineage: Eukaryota; Metazoa; Chordata; Actinopteri; Semionotiformes; Lepisosteidae. The record is from RefSeq and is a predicted model, not a curated record.